RNAcentral lists this long non-coding RNA (910 nucleotides) under Olea europaea subsp. europaea. The record is from RNAcentral. Lineage: Eukaryota; Viridiplantae; Streptophyta; Magnoliopsida; Lamiales; Oleaceae.
UUCAAAAUUAUUGGUCAUAGAUUAUUAAUUGGUCCAAAUAGUUGGUCACAUACACCAAACAGUCCCACCAUCGGUUCCGAUCCAGCACAAAUCUUGGUCACAAAUCACUACCACACCACUGCAACCUCACCACCACAGUUGUGGGCCAAAAUUGGCACCACAAUCACCACCAAAGCCGACACCACUACCACGAACAAAACACAUAAUCAAAACUACUCUACAACCAUCACAGAAACAAAUUCACGACAUCGCACGGCUCAUGGCUCAUCGCACUUACAGCACAUACCCCUACCAAAAAUCGCAUCCAACCACACACCGGCAAUGCACACCACCACGACGCAUCCAACCACUAUACACUAGUAGUGCCACCACGCUGCCAACACCAUCGCACCUACAGUGCACACACCCACCACCACUACCACAUCCAACCACACUACCAUCUAACAGUACAAACCCAGCACUAUCACUUCACUACACAAUCGUCGAAUUCAAAACCAACUACGGUCGACAAGGCAGCAACAGCGCCACUAGCUGCUUCAGAGCGACGUCUCUGCAGUGGUGGCGUCGAGCCAUGAUGCCUACGCUAUCUCCGGCAGUGAUGUUCGAUGAAGAGAAAUGGAGGUAUAUAGAGAGAGAAAAUAUAAAUCGCCCCCGACGCCCACCAAGAAAUCUUUCAGUGGUGACGCAGCCACGCAAGUGGUUCAACUCCGAAGGUAAAAUUACCGCGCUGGAGAUAAUCUUUUACGAGCGGAGCGAUUUUUGUUGAGAGAGAAGAGAGACUAGAGAGCAGAAUAGAGUGAGACGGGAAUAGGGGAAAUGAUUAGACUUUUUAAUUGAAUUGUGUUGAUUAAUUAUAUGUAAUACUUGAUUUGCAAAUAAUAAAACUUAGUAUCUAAUUUUUGAAUUGUGA